Molecule: ribosomal RNA, 836 nt
Filed under: Angustimassarina sp.
Lineage: Eukaryota; Fungi; Ascomycota; Dothideomycetes; Pleosporales; Amorosiaceae
Description: partial large subunit ribosomal RNA
Rfam family: Eukaryotic large subunit ribosomal RNA
Source: RNAcentral
CGGCGAGUGAAGCGGCAACAGCUCAAAUUUGAAAUCUGGCCUCUUUGGGGGUCCGAGUUGUAAUUUGCAGAGGGUGCUUUGGCGUUGGCUGUGGUCUAAGUUCCUUGGAACAGGACGUCGCAGAGGGUGAGAAUCCCGUAUGUGGCCGCCAGUCUUCGCCGUGUAAAGCCCCUUCGACGAGUCGAGUUGUUUGGGAAUGCAGCUCUAAAUGGGAGGUAAAUUUCUUCUAAAGCUAAAUAUUGGCCAGAGACCGAUAGCGCACAAGUAGAGUGAUCGAAAGAUGAAAAGCACUUUGGAAAGAGAGUCAAAAAGCACGUGAAAUUGUUGAAAGGGAAGCGCUUGCAGCCAGACUUGCUUGCAGUUGUUCAGCCGGGCUCUUGCCCGGUCUACUCUUCUGCUCGCAGGCCAGCAUCAGUCCGGGCGGUUGGAUAAAGGCCUAUUAAACGUACCUCCCCUCGGGGAGGACUUAUAGGGUAGGCGACAUGCAACCAGCCCGGAUUGAGGUCCGCGCAUCUGCUAGGAUGCUGGCGUAAUGGCUGUAAGCGGCCCGUCUUGAAACACGGACCAAGGAGUCUAACAUCUAUGCGAGUGUUUGGGUGUCAAGCCCGAGCGCGUAAUGAAAGUGAACGGAGGUGGGAACCUUUCGGGGUGCACCAUCGACCGAUCCUGAUGUCUUCGGAUGGAUUUGAGUAAGAGCAUAGCUGUUGGGACCCGAAAGAUGGUGAACUAUGCCUGAAUAGGGUGAAGCCAGAGGAAACUCUGGUGGAGGCUCGCAGCGGUUCUGACGUGCAAAUCGAUCGUCAAAUUUGGGCAUAGGGGCGAAAGACUAAUCGAAC